This 633-nucleotide ribosomal RNA is filed under the name Nebria castanipes. RNAcentral describes it as "partial large subunit ribosomal RNA". The stretch from base 388 to 547 matches the Rfam family "Bacterial large subunit ribosomal RNA", at positions 2473 to 2632 of the family's 2925-position model. Lineage: Eukaryota; Metazoa; Arthropoda; Insecta; Coleoptera; Carabidae. The record is from RNAcentral.
GUCCUUUAGAAUUUAAUUUAAGGUCUAGCCUGCCCACUGAUUUAUUUUAAAUGGCCGCAGUAAUUUGACUGUGCAAAGGUAGCAUAAUCAUUAGUUUUUUAAUUGAAAGCUUGUAUGAAAGGUUGGACGAGGUAAAAUCUGUCUCUAAUUAAUUUAAUUUAGAAUUUAACUUUUAAGUCAAAAGGCUUAAAUAUAAUUAAAAGACGAGAAGACCCUAUAGAUCUUUAUAAUUUAUUUAUUAAAUUUAAUUAAGAAUUUUUUAAAUUUUAUUAAUUUAAUUAUUUUAUUGGGGUAAUAUAAAGAUUAAAUUAAUUCUUUUUUUUUAUUAACAUUAAUUUAUGAUUUCAUGAUCCAAUUUUAUUGGCUAUAAGAUUAAGUUACCUUAGGGAUAACAGCGUUAUUUUUUUAGAGAGUUCUUAUCGAUAAAAAAGUUUACGACCUCGAUGUUGGAUUAAAGAUUAUUUCAGGUGUAGAAGUUUGAAAAUUUUGGUCUGUUCGACCAUUAAAUCUUUACAUGAUCUGAGUUCAGACCGGUGUAAGCCAGGUCGGUUUCUAUCUUUAAUAAAUUAAAAUAUUUUAGUACGAAAGGACCAAUUAUUUGAUAUAAAAUAUUUAAAUUUUGAUUAUUAUUAA